This 521-nucleotide ribosomal RNA is filed under the name Microhyla nilphamariensis. Its description in RNAcentral is "partial 16S ribosomal RNA". It matches the Rfam family "Bacterial large subunit ribosomal RNA", at positions 1856 to 2592 of the family's 2925-position model. The record is from RNAcentral. Lineage: Eukaryota; Metazoa; Chordata; Amphibia; Anura; Microhylidae.
AGCCUGCCCAGUGACUAAGUUAAACGGCCGCGGUACCCUAACCGUGCAAAGGUAGCGCAAUCACUUGUUCUUUAAAUGAGGACUAGUAUGAACGGCAUCACGAGGGUUACACUGUCUCCCUAUUCCAUUCAGUGAAACUGAUCUUCCCGUGAAGAAGCGGGAAUAUAAAUAUAAGACGAGAAGACCCCAUGGAGCUUUAAACUCAGUGUCAUCUGCCACUUCAAUAUCCUCUUAACCACGCAGACCAUGAUAACUAGUUUUCGGUUGGGGUGACCGCGGAGUAAAACAAAACCUCCACAACGAAAGGAACUAACAACCUAAUCUAAGAGCAACAUCUCUAAGAAUCAAUAAAUUGACUUAAUUGAUCCAAUCACUUGAUCAACGAACCAAGUUACCCUGGGGAUAACAGCGCAAUCCAUUUCAAGAGCUCAUAUCGACAAAUGGGUUUACGACCUCGAUGUUGGAUCAGGGUAUCCCAGUGGCGCAGCAGCUACUAACGGUUCGUUUGUUCAACGAUUAAA